RNAcentral lists this ribosomal RNA (237 nucleotides) under Enterococcus faecium. RNAcentral's name for it is "partial 23S ribosomal RNA". It matches the Rfam family "Bacterial large subunit ribosomal RNA", at positions 2387 to 2623 of the family's 2925-position model. Lineage: Bacteria; Bacillati; Bacillota; Bacilli; Lactobacillales; Enterococcaceae. The record is from RNAcentral.
AGUCGAGCAGGGACGAAAGUCGGGCUUAGUGAUCCGGUGGUUCCGCAUGGAAGGGCCAUCGCUCAACGGAUAAAAGCUACCCUGGGGAUAACAGGCUUAUCUCCCCCAAGAGUCCACAUCGACGGGGAGGUUUGGCACCUCGAUGUCGGCUCGUCGCAUCCUGGGGCUGUAGUCGGUCCCAAGGGUUGGGCUGUUCGCCCAUUAAAGCGGCACGCGAGCUGGGUUCAGAACGUCGUG